GUGAAUCAUCGAAUUUUUGAACGCAAAUUGCACUCUCUGGUAUUCCGGAGAGUAUGCCUGUUUGAGGGUCAGUAUUAAUAAAAAUCGGUGUGUUUCUUCUUUGUGACGCUCCUGAGUUUGGUUCAUCUUAAUAUCCUUUAGGUUUUAAGAGGCUUAAAAUUGACUUUUUUUGCUCAUUUUUAGACGUACAUAAAUUUUUUUUUUAUUCGUCUAUUCUUAAUUCCAAAAUCUUAUUAGAUGCGAUCACAUCGUCUGGUUUCGUGUCCAUAAAAUUUUCAUGAUUUGCCCUCAAAUCAGUUAA
RNAcentral lists this unclassified non-coding RNA (301 nucleotides) under Rhizophagus sp. (in: glomeromycetes). RNAcentral describes it as "partial contains 5.8S ribosomal RNA and internal transcribed spacer 2". The stretch from base 1 to 71 matches the Rfam family "5.8S ribosomal RNA", at positions 84 to 154 of the family's 154-position model. Lineage: Eukaryota; Fungi; Glomeromycota; Glomeromycetes; Glomerales; Glomeraceae. The record is from RNAcentral.